Molecule: ribosomal RNA, 449 nt
Filed under: uncultured bacterium
Lineage: Bacteria
Description: partial 16S ribosomal RNA
Rfam family: Bacterial small subunit ribosomal RNA
Source: RNAcentral
AGCGAACGCUGGCGGCAGGCCUAACACAUGCAAGUCGAACGGACCCUUCGGGGUUAGUGGCGGACGGGUGAGUAACACGUGGGAACGUGCCUUUAGGUUCGGAAUAGCUCCUGGAAACGGGUGGUAAUGCCGAAUGUGCCCUUCGGGGGAAAGAUUUAUCGCCUUUAGAGCGGCCCGCGUCUGAUUAGCGAGUUGGUGAGGUAAUGGCUCACCAAGGCGACGAUCAGUAGCUGGUCUGAGAGGAUGACCAGCCACACUGGGACUGAGACACGGCCCAGACUCCUACGGGAGGCAGCAGUGGGGAAUCUUGCGCAAUGGGCGGAAGCCUGACGCAGCCAUGCCGCGUGAAUGAUGAAGGUCUUAGGAUUGUAAAAUUCUUUCACCGGGGACGAUAAUGACGGUACCCGGAGAAGAAGCCCCGGCUAACUUCGUGCCAGCCGCCGCAGUAA